Molecule: ribosomal RNA, 279 nt
Filed under: uncultured bacterium
Lineage: Bacteria
Description: partial 16S ribosomal RNA
Rfam family: Bacterial small subunit ribosomal RNA
Source: RNAcentral
UGCCAGCAGCCGCGGUAAUACGAAGGUCCCAAGCGUUGUUCGGAAUCACUGGGCGUAAAGCGAGCGUAGGCGGCAUGGUAAGUCAGAUGUGAAAGCCCGGGGCUCAACCCCGGAACUGCAUCCGAUACUGCCAAGCUAGAGUAGUGGAGGGGUGUCUGGAAUUCACGGUGUAGCAGUGAAAUGCGUAGAGAUCGUGAGGAACACUAGUGGCGAAGGCGAGACACUGGACACUAACUGACGCUGAGGCUCGAAGGCUAGGGUAGCGAAAGGGAUUAGAUA